RNAcentral lists this ribosomal RNA (253 nucleotides) under uncultured bacterium. RNAcentral's name for it is "partial 16S ribosomal RNA". It matches the Rfam family "Bacterial small subunit ribosomal RNA", at positions 524 to 776 of the family's 1533-position model. The record is from RNAcentral.
UACAGAGGUCUCAAGCGUUGUUCGGAUUCAUUGGGCGUAAAGGGUGUGUAGGUGGCGCCGUAAGUGGGGUGUGAAAUCUCGGGGCUUAACUCCGAAACUGCAUUCCAUACUGCGGUGCUUGAGGACUGGAGAGGAGACUGGAAUUUACGGUGUAGCAGUGAAAUGCGUAGAUAUCGUAAGGAAGACCAGUGGCGAAGGCGGGUCUCUGGACAGUUCCUGACACUGAGACACGAAGGCCAGGGGAGCAAACGGG